This 415-nucleotide ribosomal RNA is filed under the name uncultured prokaryote. RNAcentral describes it as "bacterial SSU rRNA". It matches the Rfam family "Bacterial small subunit ribosomal RNA", at positions 505 to 918 of the family's 1533-position model. The record is from RNAcentral.
GUGUCAGCCGCCGCGGUAAAACGUAGGAGCCUAGCGUUAUCCGAAUUCACUGGGCGUAAAGCGCGUGCAGGCGGCUUGGUAAGUUGGAUGUGAAAUCUCCCGGCUCAACUGGGAGAGGACGUUCAAUACUGCCAGGCUAGAGGGCGGAAGAGGGAGGUGGAAUUCCCGGUGUAGUGGUGAAAUGCGUAGAUAUCGGGAGGAACACCAGUGGCGAAGGCGGCCUCCUAGGCCGCUCCUGACGCUCAGACGCGAAAGCUAGGGGAGCGAACGGGAUUAGAAACCCCGGUAGUCCUAGCUGUAAACGAUGUCGACUUGGCGUCGGUGGUGUAAAAGCCAUCGGUGCCGAAGCCAACGCGAUAAGUCGACCGCCUGGGGACUACUGCCGCAAGGUUAAAACUUAAAUGAAUUGGCGGGG